RNAcentral lists this long non-coding RNA (1671 nucleotides) under Anas platyrhynchos platyrhynchos (common mallard). RNAcentral's name for it is "lncRNA (ENSAPLG00000027991.1)". Lineage: Eukaryota; Metazoa; Chordata; Aves; Anseriformes; Anatidae. The record is from RNAcentral.
CGAGGGCUGAAUGAUCGGUUAUUGCUUUUACUUUCUCUAUUGCUUUUACUCAUCUGCCUGGAAGUGAUGCACCAAGGGCUGCGUGGGGCCCUCCAGCCUGUUCCCCAAAAGCCAGCACCACCGACACCGGGUGCUCGCCCCGCUGCUGGCAGGCCGCCGGGGUCCACCAGGGCUACCCGGUGGCCGCAGGAGCUCCCGGAGCAGCCAAUUUCACCCCGAGCUCAAACCAAUCUGGCUCCUCUCCUCUAGAGACAUUAAGAGAGAAGGCCAACAUGAAUCAUUUCACAGCCCCAUGAACCUCUCCAGAUGAGAGCAGAGCUCGGAACGGCCACCUGGGGUUAUUCAGAGCAGAGGAUUUUGAAAUGCUGCCCUUCAUAACAAAGCCCUUUCCUGUUUUGAGGCACAAAGAAGAGACCAGCGAACAAUAGUGGGAAUCCUGGAGAAACACAGGCAGUCUCAGGGGUGUCAGGAACAGGGACGGGGACCGGCCCCAGCGCUUCCCUGGAAAACAAGAGGCCCCAGGCACAGCGCAGCCACUGGCACAGGAGAAGUUUCUGUAGGUUGUGACCAGGUAGGGUGGAGCAUACAGGGCUGAGAGGAACACAGCUGCUUCCCAAGGUUCACUGACCAGGGAAGGAACUCACGUAAACCCAGUAAAGGAAAGCAGAGGAGCCAGUUCCAUGGAAAAGGACCUGUCCCGGCCACCACAUCCUGCCCCGGGCUGCCCUUUCCAGGGGCAGAGCAGGACAGAUCCCAGGCAGGCAGCGCCUGGUGGGCGUGCAGCAGAGCCAGGAGCCCUUGGGCUCAUCCAGGCUGGCACCGACCCAUCUGUUCUCCCUCUGUUCUUUGUGUCUUCAUGUGCAAUUUCAACCUUUCCAGUGCCAAAGCCUUGCCGUGAGUCUCAGCCAGCCUGCUGCCCUCAGACACACAUCUCCCAGCCUCUGCUCCCGGCUGCCCUCCUCCAGCAUUCUGCAAGGCUGAAAGGACAAAGCUGGACUGUCCUCAGGGAGAGACUCGACGGCAGAGGCAAAGGCUAUAGGGAUCCCCGCACUGGCACGCGGCACUCGCUCCCUCCCCAAACACCGCCGAGGAGGCCUCUGCCUGCCCCAGUUUCUUCCCAGGAGGACGGUGUGCUUGAAGAGCCACGAGAAGAGCUGCAGAAGAGCCUCUCCCUGCACCGGCAGGGCCAGGACACCUCCAGCGUGGAGCCCCCCACCAGCAGGCAGCGGUGCCUGAGAGCCAGCACGUGCCCCCAGCAGGGCCGGCACGGAGAGGGGAGGGCACAGGGUGGGGAAAAGGGGUUUGGGCCACAGCCUUGGUGCCCUAAGGGCCACGUCCAUCCCUCAGAGGGGUGGGUGACGUGGCAGAAGGGCCACCAUGGUGGCUGCUGACAGCCAGGAGCACGGGACACCCAGACCCACAGCAUCCUCGCGGGGGCAAACUGGCAUCCCACCUCGGGGGGAGGUUUUGGCGUUGUCGGGGCCAUCACCGCUCCCCCUGCCAGCUUCACACCCCCAGCCCCACCGCAGGGAGAGGGGUCCCUGAGCCCCCUGUGCCACGGGGAGCCGCCGAGCAGCCGGGCUCCGUCCCCAGGCUGGGGGCUCCCCAAUAGCUCAACACUAAGACUGCGAAGCCAGGAUGUCUGCGACUGAGCCUGGGCAGAAGUCAGCC